GCCAGGCAUGGUGGUGCGUGCCUGUAAUCCCAGCUACUCAGGAGGCUGAGUCAGGAGAAUUGCUUGAACCCAGGAAGCGGAGUUUGCAGUGAGCCAAGAUUGCACCACCGCACUCCAGCCUGGGUGACAGAGCGAGACUCUGUCUCAA
Molecule: non-coding RNA, 148 nt
Filed under: Homo sapiens (human)
Lineage: Eukaryota; Metazoa; Chordata; Mammalia; Primates; Hominidae
Source: Rfam by way of RNAcentral